Molecule: unclassified non-coding RNA, 359 nt
Filed under: uncultured Oidiodendron
Lineage: Eukaryota; Fungi; Ascomycota; Leotiomycetes; Myxotrichaceae
Description: sequence contains ITS2
Rfam family: 5.8S ribosomal RNA (bases 1-154)
Source: RNAcentral
AACUUUUAGCAACGGAUCUCUUGGUUCUGGCAUCGAUGAAGAACGCAGCGAAAUGCGAUCAGUAAUGCGAAUUGCAGAAUUCAGUGAGUCAUCGAAUCUUUGAACGCACAUUGCGCCCCGGGGUAUUCCGCAGGGCAUGCCUGUUCGAGCGUCAUUUCAACCCUCCAGCCUCGCUUGGUGUUGGGCCCUGCCUGCCGCGGCCGGCCCUAAAGGCAGUGGCGGCGCCGCCUGGCCCUCAGCGUAGUACAUCUCUCGCGCCAGGGUCCGGCGGCAGCCUGCCAGAACCCCCCAACUCUGUGGUUGACCUCGGAUCAGGUAGGGAUACCCGCUGAACUUAAGCAUAUCAAUAAGCGGAGGCU